CAAUAUCCUGAUGAAGAAAAUGGCGGAGAUGAGGAAUCUUACCAGAAGGUCAUCUCCUCAGGGAAAGUGGUUUGUCUGCCUGACUCACCAGUGCAAAACAUUGAAUGCAAAGCAGAGAGAUUCCCUAAUACCCCAUGGGAGGAAUUGGGCCAGACAAUCACUUGUGACAAGAAUCAAGGACUGAAAUGUGUCAAUGAGGAUCAAGGAGGACUGCCAUGUUACAACUACAAGGUCAGAUCCUGCUGCUCCAGAGCAAGUGGACCCCCUGCACCAAGUCCAUCUUCACGAAGCCCAGGACCAACUGCAUCGAAGGACAAGACACCUGCACCUCCAACCUCCAGCAACAAGUAGCCAGAACCCUCACCCUCAGGAGGGCCAGUGACACCAAAACCCCCGGUUGAGGAAAAGCCAACAAAGCCAGCUCCAGCAGAGAGUGGCGCUCCGCCUCAAGAACCAACUGCACCGAAGGACAAGACACCCCCACCUCCAACCUCCGGCAUCAAGGAGCCAGAACCCUCACCCUCAGGAGGGCCAGUGACACCGAAACCCCUGGGAGAGGAAAAGCCAACAAAGCCAGCUCCAGAAGAGAGUGGCGCUCCGCCUCAAGAACCAACUGGAGCCAAGGACAAGACACCCCCACCUCCAACCUCCAGCAGCAAUGUGCCCGAACCAUCACCCCCAACUUCAGGCCCAGAAGACUGUGCUCCAGGCUGGUCUGAUUGGUACGAUGAGCAAUAUCCUGAUGAAGAAAAUGGCGGAGAUGAGGAAUCUUACCAGAAGGUCAUCUCCUCAGGGAAAGUGGUUUGUCUGCCUGACUCACCAGUGCAAAACAUUGAAUGCAAAGCAGAGAGAUUCCCUAAUACCCCAUGGGAGGAAUUGGGCCAGACAAUCACUUGUGACAAGAAUCAAGGACUGAAAUGUGUCAAUGAGGAUCAAGGAGGACUGCCAUGUUACAACUACAAGGUCAGAUUCUGCUGCUCCAGAGCAAUUGGACCCCCUGCACCAAGUCCAUCUUCACGAAGCCCAGGUACAUUGGAAAAAUUAUUUGCAAAGCACAUGGAUAAUAUAUGACAUGUCAUCAUAUCCAUAAUGUUUUCUGGGUUAGAUCGUAUGAAUAU
Non-coding RNA from Petromyzon marinus (sea lamprey), 1118 nucleotides. The record is from RefSeq and is a predicted model, not a curated record. NCBI's taxonomy places the organism in Eukaryota, Metazoa, Chordata, Hyperoartia, Petromyzontiformes, Petromyzontidae.